This 438-nucleotide ribosomal RNA is filed under the name uncultured bacterium. RNAcentral describes it as "partial 16S ribosomal RNA". It matches the Rfam family "Bacterial small subunit ribosomal RNA", at positions 339 to 795 of the family's 1533-position model. The record is from RNAcentral.
CUACGGGGUGCAGCAGUGAGGAAUAUUGCACAAUGGGGGGAACCCUGAUGCAGCAACGCCGCGUGGAGGAUGACGCAUUUCGGUGUGUAAAUUCCUUUUAUAUGUCAAGAAAAUGACGGUAGCAUAUGAAUAAGCACCGGCUAACUCCGUGCCAGCAGCCGCGGUAUACGGAGGGUGCAAGCGUUACUCGGAAUCACUGGGCGUAAAGGACGCGUAGGCGGGUUGGAAAGUCAGGUGUGAAAUCCUACAGCUUAACUGUAGGACUGCACUUGAAACUUCUAAUCUAGAGUAUGGGAGGGGGAGAUGGAAUUAGUGGUGUAGGGGUAAAAUCCGUAGAUAUCACUAGGAAUACCUAAAGCGAAGGCGAUCUCCUGGAACAUUACUGACGCUAAGGCGUGAAAGCGUGGGGAGCAAACAGGAUUAGAUACCCUCGUAGUC